GUUGCUGGAGUCAGAAAUCAGGUAUUUUUCCUCUCGGUGUGUUUAUUUUAGACACUUUGGAUCCGGGAGAAGGGAGAAGGAGAGAGCCGAGAGAGCUGAUGGAGUCGGAGCAGCUUCCAGCUGCAUGGUCUCUGCACGAUGAGGAAGCGGAGGUGGGCGGGGCCUCACCGCCAUUCAUGGGUGUGUCUGAAGACCUGGGAGGUGGUCCUUUAAUCCCCGUGACACAACAUAGAAAGGAUGAUCCGUGGUCAUGUGACAGCUCUGCGUCCUCCUCUGAAGACAGCGACGAUGAUGAUUCGAGGUGGAGGAAGAAAAAAAAGAAGAAGAAACUUAGGAAAAAGAAGAGCAAGAGAUCGAGUUCGUCAUCAUCGUCUUCCUCCAGUUCCUCGUCGGACAGUGACAGCAGUGAGGAAGAGAAGAAGAAGCGGAGGAGGAGGAGGAAAAGGAAAGAGAACGCUGUGACGACAGCGAUACCUGAGUCAGGCCUCGUGCUGGAAAUUGUGUUAACGCCACUAAAACAGCAAAACGACGAGCGAGAGAUGAAGAAAGCAAAAAAAGACAGCACUAGAGAGAAGAAAAAGAAGAAAGACAAGAAGAAGCGGAGGCAAAGAAAAAGAAGAAGAAGAACAAAAAGAAUAAAAAGAAAAAGAAGGAUUCCAGCUCGUCUUCCUCCUCCGACAGCUCGUCAUCCGAUAGUGAAGAUCAGGACAAGAAGAAGAAGAAGAAGAAGAAGAAGAAGAAAAAGAAGAAGAAGAAGAGAAUGAAGAAGGACUCAUCGUCUGACAGCUCCAGUGACGAUGAAAAGAAGAAGAAGAAGAAGAAGAAGAAAGACAAGAAAAGAAAGAAGAAAAGAAAGGAGAUGAAGAAAAAGAAAAAAUACUCGAGCUCCAGCUGCAGUUCUUCCUCGAGCGAGAGCGAUGACGAGAAACUGAGCCGGAAAUUAAAGAAAGAGGAACCGUGGGGCGAUGACGCUGCGAGAGACGAGGGGUUAUUACGGGGCGAGCUGGAGGGAAGGGCUGAAGCGGCGGCUGAUGAUUGGACAGCAGCUUCACCAGCAUUCCCUGCGGCCUGUGAGGCUGAGAGGACCGGUGGGAUAUGUGAUGAUGGUGAAAGAGGAGAAGAAGAAAAGAAAGGGAAGCUGAAGAAAAAGAAAAAGGAUUCUGCUUCAUCUUCAGAAUCGUCGUCCUCCUGUUCAGACAGUUCCUCCUCAGACAGCGAGGAUGACAAGAAAAAGAAGAAGAAGAAAAAGAAGAAGAAGAAGAAGAAGAAGAAGAAGAAGGACUCGAGCUCUUCAUCUUGCUCCUCAUCCUCUUCGGAUAGUGAGGAUGACAAGAAGAAAAAGAAGAAGAAGAAGAAAAAGAAGAAGAAGAAGAAGAAGAAGAAGGACUCGAGCUCUUCAUCUUGUUCCUCAUCCUCUUCAGAUAGUGAGGAUGACAAGAAGAAGAAGAAAAGAAGAAGAAGAAGAAGAAGAAGGGGAAAAAGAAGGCCAGCGGCUCUUCAUCUUCAUCGGACAGCGAGAGGAACGGAAGAGGAUGAAGAAGAAAAAAAGGGGAAAGAAGAAAAAGCGCAAAUCCAAGAAGAUGAAGAAGAAGGGUUCCAGUUCUCCUUCUCCUCACGAUGUUGAUGAAAAUAAAGAAAAGCAGGAAGACUUAAAGAAGGUGGAAGUGAAGGGAGAAGAUCGGGAUGGACGGAGCGACGCAACGGGAGGAGUAGAGGACGGAGAAAGAUACGAUAUGUUCCCAGACGAUCCUACACGUGGCGUCUUUACUGAGGGGGCGGAGUCUCAGGGGGAGGGCUCCAGGGGCACCUGGAGGGGCGGAGCUUUAGGCUACAAGUCUCACCUGGACACCGAGAGGAACAGCGACGAGUCACAAUAUCAGAUGUUGAACGAGAAUGAAUUGUGAUUUCUUUUUUUAAAAAAACAUUUUGCUUUUUAUAAUUCAGAGUAAAAAAUCAUUCAUAUGUUCAGUUUAUCUCACACUCUAAAGAUUCGAGUUUAGAUUUGAUUCAGGCGAUUCACUUGUUUAACUUGUUUCGUUUUCCGGUACACAAUCACAGGUUUUGCAUUAGGAACGGGUUUCUUUAUGUCAGAGAUUUCAGAUGUGUUUUUUUUUUCUUUUUUUUUUGCUUCAUGGAGCAUGAAAUUCUGACUUUUUUUUUUGCUUAAGUUGACGUUUUAGACGCUAGUUCAGAUUUCAGAUUUGAUCGAAUGCGCACAAAGGGAUAAAAUGACGAAUAAGGACAAAUUAGAUCUGAAAGUUUUGUUGACAGUUUGCUUUUAGCGAAUAAAAUCGGAAAUGUUUGGUAGUCGUAAGGAAGCUAUAUUUAUCGCGGAAAUCAUUUCAUCCCGUUUCUUUGAUCAGUCUGGAUAUUUCUGCAGAAAAUGUUUUCAUUUCGAAUCCCAUUUUAAUAACUUUUCAGAUAAUAAAACGGCAAGAGUGAUGAAAUGAAAACCUGAAAACCGCGACAUUACAACCCAGUCUAAAAUUUUAUCUAGAAGAAUCUAGAAACUCUUGCAUUGACAGAAAUAGAGAUUAUGAAAAACGAUACACUUUGGGGACACUCAUUCGCAAUAAACAACCACAACAACAAAAUAAGCUUUUCAUUUGAUUCACCUUUGUAUUAAUCAGCUGGCAUAAAGUGAGAUUUGUUUUUCUUUUUUUUUUGCUUUUUUUUUUGCUUUUCAGUAAAAAAAUGAUUUCAGGCUGUUUAGGAUUUAAUGGCACAGAAAUGCAUGGACAUUAAGUCUUAAUUGACUUAUUCCAAAUAAAAAUAAAAAACAAUAUGAGCUUUAUAGUGUGAUGAUGUUAUUGUGUGAUGCACUUAAGUUAUUACAAUUUGCCAAACUAUUUGUUUACUAUUACAUAUUACUACACCUUUUUAAAAAAAAAUUAAUUAAAUAAUGACGUCAUGGUGCUUAUGCAUUAAUAGUUACAUUUAAAGUUCUGUGAAAUGAGUUACUUCCUGUUCUCACUUACAUUACAGCAGCGGUAAGCUGUCGUUCCCUCACCAGUCUCUCUUUAUUCUCUCUCUUCAAGUUGAUUAGACAAAACAAACCCACAAAGUGUAAACUCCCGCUCUGACUGACAUAAAAUCGCAGCUUUAAGGUACGUUCACAUGCGCAAGUCGC
Ictalurus punctatus (channel catfish) is the source of this 3130-nucleotide long non-coding RNA. The record is from Ensembl. NCBI's taxonomy places the organism in Eukaryota, Metazoa, Chordata, Actinopteri, Siluriformes, Ictaluridae.